AGUGAACGCUGGCGGUAGGCCUAACACAUGCAAGUCGAACGGCAGCACAGUAAGAGCUUGCUCUUACGGGUGGCGAGUGGCGGACGGGUGAGGAAUACAUCGGAAUCUACUUUUUCGUGGGGGAUAACGUAGGGAAACUUACGCUAAUACCGCAUACGACCUACGGGUGGAAGCAGGGGAUCUUCGGACCUUGCGCGAUUGAAUGAGCCGAUGUCGGAUUAGCUAGUUGGCGGGGUAAAGGCCCACCUAGGCGACGAUCCGUAGCUGGUCUGAGAGGAUGAUCAGCCACACUGGAACUGAGACACGGUCCAGACUCCUACGGGAGGCAGCAGUGGGGAAUAUUGGACAAUGGGCGCAAGCCUGAUCCAGCCAUACCGCGUGGGUGAAGAAGGCCUUCGGGUUGUAAAGCCCUUUUGUUGGGAAAGAAAAGCAGCAGGUUAAUACCCCGCUGUUCUGACGGUACCCAAAGAAUAAGCACCGGCUAACUUCGUG
Molecule: ribosomal RNA, 492 nt
Filed under: uncultured bacterium
Lineage: Bacteria
Description: partial 16S ribosomal RNA
Rfam family: Bacterial small subunit ribosomal RNA
Source: RNAcentral